This 248-nucleotide ribosomal RNA is filed under the name uncultured bacterium. RNAcentral's name for it is "partial small subunit ribosomal RNA". It matches the Rfam family "Bacterial small subunit ribosomal RNA", at positions 28 to 288 of the family's 1533-position model. The record is from RNAcentral.
AGAACAAACGCUAGGCGGCGGUGGCCUAAGUACUAAUGCAAGUCGAAACGAGGUAGCGAAUACCGAAGUAGGCGCACGGGUGAGUAACACGUGACUAACCUACCCUUGAGUGGGGGAUAACCUAGAGAAAUCUGGGCUAAAUACCGCAUAAUACCUUCGGGUCAAAGGAGCAAUUCGCUUAAGGAGGGGGUCGCGGCCGAUUAGUUAGUUGGCGGGGUAAUGGCCCACCAAGACUAUGAUCGGUAUCC